Molecule: ribosomal RNA, 776 nt
Filed under: uncultured bacterium
Lineage: Bacteria
Description: bacterial SSU rRNA
Rfam family: Bacterial small subunit ribosomal RNA
Source: RNAcentral
GGCGGCAUGCCUAAUACAUGCAAGUCGAGCGAACAGACGAAGUGCUUGCACUUCUGACGUUAGCGGCGAACGGGUGAGUAACACGUAAGGAAUCUACCUAUAAGCGGGGGAUAACAUUCGGAAACGGGUGCUAAUACCGCAUAAUAUCUUCUUCCGCAUGGAAGAAGAUUGAAAGACGGCUCUGCUGUCACUUAUAGAUGACCUUGCGGUGCAUUAGUUAGUUGGUGGGGUAAAGGCCUACCAAGACGAUGAUGCAUAGCCGACCUGAGAGGGUGAUCGGCCACAUUGGGACUGAGACACGGCCCAAACUCCUACGGGAGGCAGCAGUAGGGAAUCUUCCGCAAUGGGCGAAAGCCUGACGGAGCAAUGCCGCGUGAGUGAAGAAGGCCUUCGGGUCGUAAAACUCUGUUAUAAGAGAAGAACAAAUUGUAGAGUAACUGCUACAGUCUUGACGGUAUCUUAUCAGAAAGCCACGGCUAACUACGUGCCAGCAGCCGCGGUAAUACGUAGGUGGCAAGCGUUGUCCGGAUUUAUUGGGCGUAAAGGGAGCGCAGGUGGUUUCUUAAGUCUGAUGUGAAAGCCCACGGCUUAACCGUGGAGGGUCAUUGGAAACUGGGAAACUUGAGUACAGAAGAGGAAUGUGGAACUCCAUGUGUAGCGGUGGAAUGCGCAGAGAUAUGGAGGAACACCAGUGGCGAAGGCGACUUUCUGGUCUGUAACUGACGCUGAUGUGCGAAAGCGUGGGGAUCAAACAGGAUUAGAUACCCUGGUAGUCC